Molecule: transfer-messenger RNA, 355 nt
Filed under: Methylococcaceae
Lineage: Bacteria; Pseudomonadati; Pseudomonadota; Gammaproteobacteria; Methylococcales
Also listed under: 1 other name
Description: Methylogaea sp004299145 Standard tmRNA
Rfam family: transfer-messenger RNA
About the family: Bacterial tmRNA, also known as 10Sa RNA or SsrA, is named for its dual tRNA and mRNA-like properties. Its role is to liberate the mRNA from a stalled ribosome.
Source: RNAcentral
GGGGGCGACAUGGCUUCGACGUGGAUCGCAAAACCUUAGGUGCAUGCCGAGGGGCAGAGAACCUCGUAAAUCCAACUGCACAUUUAUAGUUGCCAACGACGACAACUACGCUCUGGCUGCUUAGUCGGCCAGCCUUCGUGAGAAUGCCUGCUUAUGGGCGUUCUUCUCGGGGGUAACCCAAACAUAAGCUACGUGGUGAAGCCUGUCCGGGGCGGAUCCGCUAAAACCUCACGGAAUCGCUGAAUGCUCCCUGCCCGUCGGGCAGCCUUCAGUUAAAUCAAUAGGCUGGGAUAAGCAUGUAGAUCCGAGGGCGGAGGAUUUGCGGACGCGGGUUCAAUUCCCGCCGCCUCCACCA